Molecule: ribosomal RNA, 495 nt
Filed under: uncultured bacterium
Lineage: Bacteria
Description: bacterial SSU rRNA
Rfam family: Bacterial small subunit ribosomal RNA
Source: RNAcentral
AUUGAACGCUGUCGGCAUGCUUAACACAUGCAAGUCGAACGCGAGCGGGCUUCGGCCCAAGUAGAGUGGCGGACGGUGAGUAAUGCGUGGGGAAUCUACCCUCGAGCGGGGGACAACCCGGGGAAACCCGGGCUAAUACCGCAUACGUCCUACGGGAGAAAGCGGGCCUCUACACUAUGCUCGCACUCGAGGAUGAGCCCACGUCCGAUUAGCUAGUUGGUAGGGUAACGGCCUACCAAGGCCACGAUCGGUAGCUGGUCUGAGAGGAUGAUCAGCCACACUGGGACUGAGACACGGCCCAGACUCCUACGGAGGCAGCAGUGGGGAAUAUUGGACAAUGGGCGCAAGCCUGAUCCAGCAAUGCCGCGUGUGUGAAGAAGGCCUGCGGGUUGUAAAGCACUUUCAGUGGGGAAGAACGGAUACGGGCCAAUACCCCGCAUCACUGACGUUACCCACAGAAGAAGCACCGGCUAACUCCGUGCCAGCAGCCGCGGU